GGGUGCGGUAAGAGCGCACCGCGCGACUAGUAAUAGUUCGUGGCACGGUAAACUCCACACCGGAGCAAGUCCAAAUAGGGUUCCUAUUUCCUUUGAGAAAAACGUAUGGCCCAUACGGGAACCGGGUAGGAUGCUUGAGCCUUAGAGCAAUUUAAGGCCUAGACGAAUGAUUGUCCUCGACAAAACCCGGCUUAUCGGCUGUCUCGCCAC
RNAcentral lists this RNase P RNA (210 nucleotides) under Gammaproteobacteria bacterium. Its description in RNAcentral is "partial RNase P RNA component class A". It matches the Rfam family "Bacterial RNase P class A", at positions 160 to 367 of the family's 367-position model. Rfam says of the family: Ribonuclease P (RNase P) is a ubiquitous endoribonuclease, found in archaea, bacteria and eukarya as well as chloroplasts and mitochondria. Its best characterised activity is the generation of mature 5'-ends of tRNAs by cleaving the 5'-leader elements of precursor-tRNAs. Lineage: Bacteria; Pseudomonadati; Pseudomonadota; Gammaproteobacteria. The record is from RNAcentral.